This 761-nucleotide long non-coding RNA is filed under the name Monodelphis domestica (gray short-tailed opossum). Its description in RNAcentral is "lncRNA (ENSMODG00000038427.1)". Lineage: Eukaryota; Metazoa; Chordata; Mammalia; Didelphimorphia; Didelphidae. The record is from RNAcentral.
CUCAGCCUCUUUAAUGGUUUCCCAAUUCUCUACCCUCUGGCCUCUUUGGGGAAAAUCAGAAAAAUACGGAACAAGUGAAUCCCAUCAGGGCACAGCCCAGGUAGAUAAGCCUGUUCUAUGGACAAGGUCUGGGUGUGUCUCUCCUACUGCAAAUGGUAGCAGCCUGAGAAGCCAAGAAUUGCAACAGUCCCGCUUGACAUCUGGUGAUGGCCCAGUUCUGAGGGGUAUAAAAGGAACAGUCCUCUGCUGGGGUUCCACAUAGCUCUUAUCCUCCUUCUGGGAUUCCUCUUCAGUCUCUGUCUGAUUGUCUUUUUCUGAACCAAAGAUGGUGGCUACCAAGCUAGAAGAGGACAUAGUUAAACUAAUAGAGAUCUUUCACAAAUACAGCACAAAUAAGGAGGGCUGGGAUGAACUGAACUUGAAAGAAUUGACCCAGAUCAUUAAGAAUGAGUAUCCUGUUUUCAUUUUAACCUGUAGCUCAGGUGAUCCGGAUGGUUACAUUAAAAAGUAUUUUGAUGAGAAUAAGAAUGCAAACAAUGAAGUCAACUUUAAUGCUUAUAUGAAAAUCAUGGGCAAAAUAGCCAACAUCUACCACAAACGGAGCCAUCAUGAUGAGACCUGUGAUGAUAGGAAAUGAACACUACUGGAUCAUGGUGACGAGAUCCAUGGAUAGAAGGGAUAAGACUAGCCCAUCCUAAAACAAGGAGUUCCUGAGAAUUUGAAUCAAUAAAUCAUCUCCUUUACCUUAUAUUAUGGUACCU